Molecule: long non-coding RNA, 502 nt
Organism: Callorhinchus milii (elephant shark)
Lineage: Eukaryota; Metazoa; Chordata; Chondrichthyes; Chimaeriformes; Callorhinchidae
Exons: 3
Source: RefSeq, a predicted model, not a curated record
GGGUGGGGAUAACAAUAUUUGCCCAACCCCCAAAACCACUAGUUUAGCUUCAAGCUGAUGUCACCACAAAAGGAAUAUAACGAUUGCCCAAAUAUGUAUCUCUCGGCAGACGUGACAGCCUGAUUUCUUAGGUGACUUGAUACCCAGCAUCUUUACUUUGCUAUAUAAGUAAUAUAUUGCCUUUUAAGUGAUCACUUGUUAAUGAUGACGCUGACUCCCACCCACCUUCGGAUCCUUCCCAUAUUUAGUCAUACUUUUUCACCCUCGUUCCUCUUAACUUUCGGUCGAUCAGGCUGUAGUGGGCGGGGAGAGUUGGUCUGGGAGAUAAACCAGUCAGCGUGUGAGUAUACUGAGAUCCACCUGCAAAGAUCUGGUUAUUUUUAUGAGCAGUGAUCGCGCGUUUAACGUGGUUCCCCGACCUCAGAAUCCUGCAAAAUGAAGAAGGGACAGGAACCCACCACAGACUUGCUGAACAUUCAAUAUAUUAUGACUUAAAACAGAG